UGGACAUGUGCGGUAGUCACACGAAGGAAUUAAUCGAUCUCGAUGGGAUCUCGCUCUGCGGUUGGGCGUCUCCUCUUCUUCCCCAAUUCCUGAUCUAGUCUCCAAGAACAGCGCCGCCCUUCCCAUGCCUUUCUGAUUUUAAGGUCGCGACCAACCAUUGACGGAGACAAAUGGCGCAAUUCCAGUCCCCAAUUAGCUCUUCUUCAUGCCGUACAUUCUUCUCCAUCCCCAUAUGGUUGAUAGAUGAUAUUACAGACUGAGGUUUCCAUGGAUUCGUUCUUUUCUUGCGUCCGAUCCAACCAUCCAUAUUAAGGUGCUUUCCUUCCUUGACCA
Non-coding RNA from Aegilops tauschii subsp. strangulata, 333 nucleotides. The record is from RefSeq and is a predicted model, not a curated record. Lineage: Eukaryota; Viridiplantae; Streptophyta; Magnoliopsida; Poales; Poaceae.